CCAGAUUUUUAUAUAUUGUUUCACAUAAAUAUAUUAAAAAUGAAGGCGAUAUUCUUCAUCUUCGUCGCAGUUCUGUGGUAUAACGUGGAGAGUGCCAAGAUUCGGGUAACCCGCAGGCAAUGGAUCCAAUAUCAACCACCCAACCGAAAUAUAUUUCCUGUCCAAAAUCAAUACUACAAAUAUCCGAAUCAAAACC
This is a long non-coding RNA of Cydia amplana, 196 nucleotides long. RefSeq lists it as uncharacterized. NCBI's taxonomy places the organism in Eukaryota, Metazoa, Arthropoda, Insecta, Lepidoptera, Tortricidae. The record is from RefSeq and is a predicted model, not a curated record. The transcript has 2 exons.